This 236-nucleotide ribosomal RNA is filed under the name uncultured bacterium. Its description in RNAcentral is "partial 16S ribosomal RNA". It matches the Rfam family "Bacterial small subunit ribosomal RNA", at positions 100 to 334 of the family's 1533-position model. The record is from RNAcentral.
CCGGCACGGGUGAGUAACACGUAUCCAACCUGCCGUCUACUCUUGGACAGCCUUCUGAAAGGAAGAUUAAUACAAGAUGGCAUCAUGAGUCCGCAUGUCACAUGAUUAAAGGUAUUCCGGUAGACGAUGGGGAUGCGUUCCAUUAGAUAGUAGGCGGGGUAACGGCCCACCUAGUCUUCGAUGGAUAGGGGUUCUGAGAGGAAGGUCCCCCACAUUGGAACUGAGACACGGUCCAA